UCCCCUAGUAACUGCGAGUGAAGCGGGAAAAGCUCAAAUUUGAAAUCUGGCAGUUUUUGACUGUCCGAGUUGUAAUCUAGAGAAGUGUUACCUGUGCAGGACCAUGUACAAGUCUCCUGGAAUGGAGCAUCAUAGAGGGUGAGAAUCCCGUCUUUGACAUGGACUACCUGUAUAAUAUGGUGUGCUCUCGAAGAGUCGAGUUGUUUGGGAAUGCAGCUCAAAAUGGGUGGUAAAUGCCAUCUAAAGCUAAAUAUUGGCGAGAGACCGAUAGCGAACAAGUACCGUGAGGGAAAGAUGAAAAGAACUUUGGAAAGAGAGUUAAACAGUACGUGAAAUUGCUGAAAGGGAAACGCUUGAAGUCAGUCACAUUGACUAGAAAUCAGCCUUUGCUUUUGCUUGGUGUACUUUCUUGUUGAUGGGUCAGCAUCAAUUUUGAUCAUUGGAUAAGGUCUUUGGGAAUGUGGCAUCCUUGGAUGUGUUAUAGCCCAUUGUCACAUACAAUGAUUGAGAUUGAGGAACUCAGCACGCCGCAAGGCCGGGUCAUUGACCACGUUCGUGCUUAGGAUGCUGGCAUAAUGGCUUUAAUCGACCCGUCUUGAAACACGGACCAAGGAGUCUAACAUGCCUGCGAGUGUUUGGGUGGAAAACCCAUGCGCGUAAUGAAAGUGAAAGUUGAGAACCCUCUUUACAAGGGGGAGCAUUGACGC
This 707-nucleotide ribosomal RNA is filed under the name Inocybe sp. RNAcentral describes it as "LSU rRNA". It matches the Rfam family "Eukaryotic large subunit ribosomal RNA", at positions 76 to 764 of the family's 3401-position model. The record is from RNAcentral. Lineage: Eukaryota; Fungi; Basidiomycota; Agaricomycetes; Agaricales; Inocybaceae.